RNAcentral lists this ribosomal RNA (384 nucleotides) under uncultured bacterium. RNAcentral describes it as "bacterial SSU rRNA". It matches the Rfam family "Bacterial small subunit ribosomal RNA", at positions 28 to 412 of the family's 1533-position model. The record is from RNAcentral.
GACGAACGCUGGCGGCGUGCUUAACACAUGCAAGUCGAGCGGUAAGGCCCUUUCGGGGGUACACGAGCGGCGAACGGGUGAGUAACACGUGGGUGACCUGCCUUUAGCUCUGGGAUAAGCCUGGGAAACCGGGUCUAAUACCGGAUAUGACUCCGCGGCGCAUGUUGUGGGGUGGAAAGCCUUGUGCGGCUGGAGAUGGGGCCCGCGGCCUAUCAGCUUGGUUGGUGGGGUGACGGCCUACCAAGGCGACGACGGGUAGCCGGCCUGAGAGGGCGACCGGCCACACUGGGACUGAGACACGGCCCAGACUCCUACGGGAGGCAGCAGUGGGGAAUCUUGCGCAAUGGGCGAAAGCCUGACGCAGCGACGCCGCGUGAGGAUGAC